AGCCUCGGAUGAUGCAUCGUGGAGGUAGAGCGACUGUUUGGACGAGGGCCCCUUGCGGGGUACCGAAUCCUGAUAAACUCCGAAUGCCACAGAUGUUAAUCCGGGAGUCACACUGCGAGUGAUAAGAUCCGUAGUGGAGAGGGAAACAACCCAGACCGUCGGCUAAGGUCCCCAAAUCCUUGUUAAGUGGAAAAGGAUGUGGGGCUGCUUAGACAACUAGGAUGUUGGCUUAGAAGCAGCCAUCAUUUAAAGAGUGCGUAAUAGCUCACUAGUCGAG
This 277-nucleotide ribosomal RNA is filed under the name Dolosigranulum pigrum. RNAcentral's name for it is "partial 23S ribosomal RNA". It matches the Rfam family "Bacterial large subunit ribosomal RNA", at positions 878 to 1153 of the family's 2925-position model. Lineage: Bacteria; Bacillati; Bacillota; Bacilli; Lactobacillales; Carnobacteriaceae. The record is from RNAcentral.